CUAUAAGUUUCUGCUGGAAAUGGAAGGAGCAGAGGCAGGACCAGAGCCGGGGCUUUACCACUGCCUGCUGUGUGCCUGGGACACGCCCUCCCGCCUAGCUGUGCUGCAACAUCUACGCAUGCCCGCCCACCGCGAUGCCCAGGCCCAGAGGCGUCUGCAGCUGCUACAGAGCGGCCCAGCAGCCGAAGAAGGACUCUCAGCUCUCCAGAGUAUUCUGAGCUUCAGCCGUGGGCGGCUUCAGACUCCUGGGAAGGCUCCUGACACCCCCUUAGCUCAGCCACCCACCUCUGAGAAAGAUGCCCAGAACAGGACAGAACAACGGGCUUCCGAAGUGACAGAGGACAGAACUGGCCCUCCCAGAGACAGUGCCAACCAGAUCACGGUCAGAACUGGGG
RNAcentral lists this long non-coding RNA (395 nucleotides) under Rattus norvegicus (Norway rat). RNAcentral's name for it is "long non-coding RNA NONRATT010880". Lineage: Eukaryota; Metazoa; Chordata; Mammalia; Rodentia; Muridae. The record is from RNAcentral.